GGGCCAUUAGCUCAGGUGGUUAGAGCGCACCCCUGAUAAGGGUGAGGUCCCUGGUUCCAGUCCAGUAUGGCCCA
This 74-nucleotide transfer RNA is filed under the name uncultured Prochlorococcus sp. Its description in RNAcentral is "tRNA-Ile". It matches the Rfam family "tRNA". From Rfam's summary of the family: Transfer RNA (tRNA) molecules are approximately 80 nucleotides in length. Their secondary structure includes four short double-helical elements and three loops (D, anti-codon, and T loops). Lineage: Bacteria; Bacillati; Cyanobacteriota; Cyanophyceae; Synechococcales; Prochlorococcaceae. The record is from RNAcentral.